RNAcentral lists this ribosomal RNA (397 nucleotides) under uncultured bacterium. RNAcentral's name for it is "partial 16S ribosomal RNA". It matches the Rfam family "Bacterial small subunit ribosomal RNA", at positions 523 to 918 of the family's 1533-position model. The record is from RNAcentral.
AUACGUAGGGGGCAAGCGUUGUCCGGAAUGAUUGGGCGUAAAGGGCGCGUAGGCGGCCCGGUAAGUCUGAAGUGAAAGUCCUGUUUUUAAGAUGGGAAUUGCUUUGGAUACUGUCGGGCUUGAGUGCAGGAGAGGGAAGUGGAAUUCCCAGUGUAGCGGUGAAAUGCGUAGAGAUUGGGAGGAACACCAGUGGCGAAGGCGACUUACUGGACUGUAACUGACGCUGAGGCGCGAAAGUGUGGGGAGCAAACAGGAUUAGAUACCCUGGUAGUCCACACUGUAAACGAUGAAUGCUAGGUGUAGGGGGUAUCGACCCCUUCUGUGCCGCAGUAAACACAAUAAGCAUUCCGCCUGGGGAGUACGGCCGCAAGGUUGAAACUCAAAUGAAUUGACGGGG